Molecule: non-coding RNA, 403 nt
Organism: Schizosaccharomyces pombe (fission yeast)
Lineage: Eukaryota; Fungi; Ascomycota; Schizosaccharomycetes; Schizosaccharomycetales; Schizosaccharomycetaceae
Source: the annotation of a GenBank genome assembly
AUGAAUUUUGUUAAAGGAAGCAUCCAACAUUCUUGAAAAUCCAGCAAAAGGGAGAUAUCAACGGUCUCUUCCAAUUCGCUUCAUUAUAGCAUAGUUAAUCAACGUACAAAGUCUGCUGCCUUCAUCAUACAUCAUUUCCAUGCCAUCUCUAGCUUCAGACCCAUGAUCCAUGUGGCUAACAAUUUCAGAAAUUUCAGCAGAAAACAGAUUGCAACUAGUUAGGUAAGCAGAAGAAAUCUUCAAAAGUACAACACUUACGUUUUAAUCCACUUGAUGCGAACACCUCCAGCAUGCGAGCUAUCUGACCAAAAGGGCAGUUCGGUGCUAUUUAGGUCGCUGACUACCUGAGCAUAUCCUAAAGCAUUGUACGUUUGCUGAGCCACAAAAAUAAAAUAAACACUGG